RNAcentral lists this transfer RNA (134 nucleotides) under Croomia japonica. RNAcentral describes it as "tRNA-Leu". The stretch from base 55 to 134 matches the Rfam family "tRNA". Rfam says of the family: Transfer RNA (tRNA) molecules are approximately 80 nucleotides in length. Their secondary structure includes four short double-helical elements and three loops (D, anti-codon, and T loops). Further hydrogen bonds mediate the characteristic L-shaped molecular structure. tRNAs have two regions of fundamental functional importance: the anti-codon, which is responsible for specific mRNA codon recognition, and the 3' end, to which the tRNAs corresponding amino acid is attached (by aminoacyl-tRNA synthetases). tRNAs cope with the degeneracy of the genetic code in two manners: having more than one tRNA (with a specific anti-codon) for a particular amino acid; and 'wobble' base-pairing, i.e. permitting non-standard base-pairing at the 3rd anti-codon position. The record is from RNAcentral. Lineage: Eukaryota; Viridiplantae; Streptophyta; Magnoliopsida; Pandanales; Stemonaceae.
GAAUCCUUAAAUCUCGACGAUUCAACAAUAAUUGACUAUUAUUAUUUCAAGUAAGCCGCCGUGGUGAAAUCGGUAGACACGCUGCUCUUAGGAAGCAGUGCUAGAGCAUCUCGGUUCGAGUCCGAGUGGCGGCA